AUUGAACGCUGGCGGCAGGCCUAACACAUGCAAGUCGAACGGCAGCACAGAAGAGCUUGCUCUUUGGGUGGCGAGUGGCGGACGGGUGAGUAAUGUCUGGGAAACUGCCCGAUGGAGGGGGAUAACUACUGGAAACGGUAGCUAAUACCGCAUAACGUCGCCAGACCAAAGUGGGGGACCUUCGGGCCUCACACCCUCGGAUGUGCCCAGAUGGGAUUAGCUAGUAGGUGGGGUAAUGGCUCACCGAGGCGACGAUCCCUAGCUGGUCUGAGAGGAUGACCAGCCACACGGGAACUGAGACACGGUCCAGACUCCUACGGGAGGCAGCAGUGGGGAAUAUUGCACAAUGGGCGCAAGCCUGAUGCAGCCAUGCCGCGUGUAUGAAGAAGGCCUUCGGGUUGUAAAGUACUUUCAGCGGGGAGGAAGGCGGUGAGGUUAAUAACCUCGCCGAUUGACGUUACCCGCAGAAGAAGCACCGGCUAACUCCAUGCCAGCCGCCGCCGUAA
This 506-nucleotide ribosomal RNA is filed under the name uncultured bacterium. Its description in RNAcentral is "partial 16S ribosomal RNA". It matches the Rfam family "Bacterial small subunit ribosomal RNA", at positions 29 to 523 of the family's 1533-position model. The record is from RNAcentral.